UGCCACCAGCCGCGGUAAUACAUAGGGUGCAAGCGUUGUCCUGAUUUAUUGGGCGUAAACAGCUCGUAUGUCGUUUGUUACGUGAGAUGUGAAAACCUGAGGCUCAACCUCAAGCCUGCAUUCAAUACGGGCAAACUAAAGUUUGGUAGGGGAGACUGGAAUUCCUGGUGUAGCGGUGGAAUGCGCAAUAUCAAGAGGAACACCAAUGGCGAAGGCAGGUCUCUGGGCCAAUACUGACACUGAGGAGCGAAAGUCUGGGGAGCGAACAGGAUUACAUACCCUGGUAGUCCAAACCGUAAACGGUGGGCACUAGUUGUGGGAACCUUCCACGGUUUCUGCGACGCAACUAACGCAUUAAGUGCCCCGCCGGGGGAGUACGAUCGCAAAAUUAAAACUC
This 397-nucleotide ribosomal RNA is filed under the name uncultured bacterium. Its description in RNAcentral is "bacterial SSU rRNA". It matches the Rfam family "Bacterial small subunit ribosomal RNA", at positions 506 to 902 of the family's 1533-position model. The record is from RNAcentral.